ACGAACGCUGGCGGCGUGCUUAACACAUGCAAGUCGAGCGGUAAGGCCCCUUCGGGGGUACACGAGCGGCGAACGGGUGAGUAACACGUGAGCAAUCUGCCCAUCACAUCGGGAUAACUCCGGGAAACCGAAGCUAAUACCGAAUACGACCACUUCAGGCAUCUGACGGUGGUGGAAAGUUCCGGCGGUGAUGGAUGAGCUCGCGGCCUAUCAGCUAGUUGGUGGGGUAAUGGCCUACCAAGGCUUCGACGGGUAGCCGGCCUGAGAGGGUGACCGGCCACACUGGGACUGAGACACGGCCCAGACUCCUACGGGAGGCAGCAGUGGGGAAUAUUGGACAAUGGGCGAAAGCCUGAUCCAGCAACGCCGCGUGAGGGAUGACGGCCUUCGGGUUGUAAACCUCUUUCAGCAGGGACGAAGCGAAAGUGACGGUACCUGCAGAAGAAGCACCGGCCAACUACGU
Molecule: ribosomal RNA, 463 nt
Filed under: uncultured bacterium
Lineage: Bacteria
Description: bacterial SSU rRNA
Rfam family: Bacterial small subunit ribosomal RNA
Source: RNAcentral